CAUGUGGUUUAAUUCGAUGAUACGCGAGGAACCUUACCUGGGCUAGAAUGUGAGUGACCGGUGGUGAAAGCCACUUUUCCGCAAGGACACAAAACAAGGUGCUGCAUGGCUGUCGUCAGCUCGUGCCGUGAGGUGUUGGGUUAAGUCCCGCAACGAGCGCAACCCCCAUCUUCAGUUGCCAUCAUUAAGUUGGGAACUCUGAAGAAACUGCCGCCGUAAGGCGUGAGGAAGGAGGGGAUGAUGUCAAGUCAUCAUGGCCUUUAUGCCCAGGGCUACACACGUGCUACAAUGGUAAGGACAAAGGGUUGCUACCCAGCAAUGGGAUGCUAAUCUCAAAAACCUUAUCUCAGUUCGGAUUGCAGGCUGCAACUCGCCUGCAUGAAGCUGGAAUCGCUAGUAAUCGCGCAUCAGCAAUGGCGCGGUGAAUACGUUCCCGGGC
Molecule: ribosomal RNA, 439 nt
Filed under: uncultured bacterium
Lineage: Bacteria
Description: bacterial SSU rRNA
Rfam family: Bacterial small subunit ribosomal RNA
Source: RNAcentral